Molecule: non-coding RNA, 146 nt
Organism: Podarcis lilfordi (Lilford's wall lizard)
Lineage: Eukaryota; Metazoa; Chordata; Lepidosauria; Squamata; Lacertidae
Source: the annotation of a GenBank genome assembly
UGCAAGGAAAGAGCAAUCAAGCUCUUUGGAUUCAAUUUCUGACUCUAUACAUCAAAAUGAUAGGAUAUGUGUAAUAUGUAUAUAUACCAUAUGUGUGUGUGUGUGUGUGUGUGUGUGUGUGUGUGUAUGAGAAUAUUAACCUGCAA